Molecule: ribosomal RNA, 492 nt
Filed under: uncultured bacterium
Lineage: Bacteria
Description: partial 16S ribosomal RNA
Rfam family: Bacterial small subunit ribosomal RNA
Source: RNAcentral
AGUGAACGCUGGCGGUAGGCCUAACACAUGCAAGUCGAACGGCAGCACAGUAAGAGCUUGCUCUUACGGGUGGCGAGUGGCGGACGGGUGCGGAAUACAUCGGAAUCUACUUUUUCGUGGGGGAUAACGUAGGGAAACUUACGCUAAUACCGCAUACGACCUACGGGUGAAAGCAGGGGAUCUUCGGACCUUGCGCGAUUGAAUGAGCCGAUGUCGGAUUAGCUAGUUGGCGGGGUAAAGGCCCACCAAGGCGACGAUCCGUAGCUGGUCUGAGAGGAUGAUCAGCCACACUGGCACUGAGACACGGUCCAGACUCCUACGAGAGGCAGCAGUGGGGAAUAUUGGACAAUGGGCGCAAGCCUGAUCCAGCCAUACCGCGUGGGUGCAGAAGGCCUUCGGGUUGUAAAGCCCUUUUGUUGGGAAAGAAAAGCAGCAGGUUAAUACCCCGCUGUUCUGACGGUACCCAAAGAAUAAGCACCGGCUAACUUCGUG